Molecule: long non-coding RNA, 345 nt
Organism: Oncorhynchus tshawytscha (Chinook salmon)
Lineage: Eukaryota; Metazoa; Chordata; Actinopteri; Salmoniformes; Salmonidae
Source: Ensembl
GGAUGAGGUGGGGGUGCAGUUACUGAUGGUGCAUGGUCAGAUAGAGAAGUGAUCACCGGAAUAAUUACAAUGAAGGUAAAUGACACCCAGGAAGCAGACAGGGACUCCAGAUGAUGUCCAGGCCGAUACCACACACCACCGGCUCAGAGUACAGCGAGAAGACAAGCAGGAAGGCCCAGAACAGCAGAUAGAUGACUGGCCACACCGGGCUCACCCGAUGUCACCGGGUGGCAGGGACUGGGAGACGAGUCAGGAUCGAGGCAAAGAUGAACGGAGCAAAGUACAGAGAGAUCCUUCAUGAAAACCUACAGCGCACACAGGACCUCAGACUGGGGCGAAUGUUCA